RNAcentral lists this transfer-messenger RNA (351 nucleotides) under Acutalibacteraceae. Its description in RNAcentral is "Eubacterium_R sp900547915 Standard tmRNA". It matches the Rfam family "transfer-messenger RNA". Rfam says of the family: Bacterial tmRNA, also known as 10Sa RNA or SsrA, is named for its dual tRNA and mRNA-like properties. Its role is to liberate the mRNA from a stalled ribosome. RNAcentral also lists the same sequence under 1 other name. The record is from RNAcentral. Lineage: Bacteria; Bacillati; Bacillota; Clostridia; Eubacteriales.
GGGGAUGAAAGGAUUUCGACUGGGGCAAGGAGUCUUGGUAAGCAUGCAGAGGAGCUGCACCGCUUUAAAAGCAGCAACCUAAAAUUAACUGACAACAAUAGAUCAGUAGCUUUGGCUGCGUAAUUGCAGCCUUCGUCCGUCCGUUGAGUGCCGCGGCUUCGGAACGGGCGUCGUGUAGCGGCGAACAUGAACGGGGGAGAGGCUCGGCUCCCGUCAGGUAUCAGAGCCUACCGACGCAAUAAGGCUGUCUGUUGCCGUAUUGCCGGGGGAAUCCUAAAUAAUAGACUAAGCAUGUAGAAAGCCUUGAUAAGAGGUUUCAGGACGCGGUUUCGAUUACCGCCAUCUCCACCA